Molecule: transfer RNA, 69 nt
Filed under: Flavonifractor plautii
Lineage: Bacteria; Bacillati; Bacillota; Clostridia; Eubacteriales; Oscillospiraceae
Also listed under: 1 other name
Rfam family: tRNA
About the family: Transfer RNA (tRNA) molecules are approximately 80 nucleotides in length. Their secondary structure includes four short double-helical elements and three loops (D, anti-codon, and T loops).
Source: RNAcentral
GGCUGUAGCUCAGUUGGAUAGAGUGUUUGACUACGAAUCAAAAGGUCGGGGGUUCGAAUCCCUUCAGCC